RNAcentral lists this ribosomal RNA (510 nucleotides) under uncultured bacterium. RNAcentral describes it as "partial 16S ribosomal RNA". It matches the Rfam family "Bacterial small subunit ribosomal RNA", at positions 28 to 507 of the family's 1533-position model. The record is from RNAcentral.
GACGAACGCUGGCGGCGUGCUUAACACAUGCAAGUCGAACGAAGAGCGAUGGAAGCUUGCUUCUAUCAAUCUUAGUGGCGCACGGGUGAGUAACGCGUAAUCAACCUGCCCUUCAGAGGGGGACAACAGUUGGAAACGACUGCUAAUACCGCAUACGAUCUAACCUCGGCAUCGAGGAUAGAUGAACGGUGGCCUCUACAUGUAAGCUAUCACUGAAGGAGGGGAUUGCGGCUGAUUAGCUAGUUGGAGGGGUAACGGCCCACCAAGGCGAUGAUCAGUAGCCGGUCUGAGAGGAUGGACGGCCACAUUGGGACUGAGACACGGCCCAGACUCCUACGGGAGGCAGCAGUGGGGAAUCUUCCGCAAUGGACGAAAGGCUGACGGAGCAACGCCGCGUGAGGGAUGACGGCCUUCGGGUUGUAAAGCUCUGUUAAUCGGGACGAAAGGCCUUCUUGCGAAUAGUGAGAAGGAUUGACGGUACCGGAAUAGAAAGCCACGGCUAACUACGUG